GACGCUUUCCAGCGUC
RNAcentral lists this ribosomal RNA (16 nucleotides) under Suillus lakei. RNAcentral describes it as "partial 28S ribosomal RNA". Lineage: Eukaryota; Fungi; Basidiomycota; Agaricomycetes; Boletales; Suillaceae. The record is from RNAcentral.